RNAcentral lists this non-coding RNA (876 nucleotides) under Drosophila persimilis. RNAcentral's name for it is "Eukaryotic large subunit ribosomal RNA". It matches the Rfam family "Eukaryotic large subunit ribosomal RNA", at positions 1 to 744 of the family's 3401-position model. The record is from Rfam by way of RNAcentral. Lineage: Eukaryota; Metazoa; Arthropoda; Insecta; Diptera; Drosophilidae.
CAACCUCAACUCAUAUGGGACUACCCCCUGAAUUUAAGCAUAUUAAUUAGGGGAGGAAAAGAAACUAACCAGGAUUUUCUUAGUAGCGGCGAGCGAAAAGAAAUCAGUUCAGCACUAAGUCACUUUGUCUAUAUGGCAAACGUGAGAUGCAGUGUAUGGAGCGUCAAUAUUCUAGUAUGAGAAAUUAACGAUUUAAGUCCUUCUUAAAUGAGGCCAUUUACCCAUAGAGGGUGCCAGGCCCGUAUAACGUUAAUGAUUACUAGAUGAUGUUUCCAAAGAGUCGUGUUGCUUGAUAGUGCAGCACUAAGUGGGUGGUAAACUCCAUCUAAAACUAAAUAUAACCAUGAGACCGAUAGUAAACAAGUACCGUGAGGGAAAGUUGAAAAGAACUCUGAAUAGACAGUUAAACAGUACGUGAAACUGCUUAGAGGUUAAGCCCGAUUAACCUGAAUAUCCGUUAUGGAAAAUUCAUCAUUAAAGUUGUAAUAUUUUAACAAUAUUAUAAUAAUAGUGUGCAUUUUUUCCAUAUAAGGACAUUGUAAUCUAUUAGCAUAUAACAAAUUUAUCAUAAAAUAUGACUUAUAGUUUAUUCAAAUUAUUAUGCUUGCAUUUUAACAUAGAAUAAAUGUCAUUAAUUUGAUAAAGUGUUGAUAAAUUAAAAUUAAUACAGUGCGUUAAUUUUUCGAAAUUAUAUAAUGGCAUAAUUAUCAUUGAUUUUUGUGUUUAUUAUAUGCAUUUGUAUGAUUAACAAUGCGAAAGAUUCAGGAUACCUUUCGGGACCCGUCUUGAAACACGGACCAAGGAGUCUAACAUAUGUGCAAGUUAUUGGGAGAUAAACCUAAUAGCGUAAUUUAACUUGACUAAUAAUGGGAUUAG